CAGAAGGAUGGAGAUCCUGGAGGAAUUCAAAAAGAUGCCAGCUGACAGAGACAUGGUUCUCGUCCAUCAGCACAUGCAGCGCACCUUUCCACUCCGCCGUGAAGAGAUUGUGACCUUAGCUCCUCCCAUCGCAUAAUUGAAAGACAGAUGGCCUGCCCUCUUCUCUGAAGCUUAACUCUAUGGCGAAUUCCAUAGGAUCACAAAUCAAAGCCUUCAAUAUUCCUUCUUCGCUGCGCUCGAUAAAAACACUACACAGCUGCUCAAACUCUACAAAGAGAGGAAGACUGGAGCUUUUGGUGAGAAGAUGGCAGAUCUGCUGAUGGCAUAUGAGGAGCAGGACAAGAAUGACAUCAGUGCAACUAGAACAGCAGCACUGGCAGGGCUGCCACUGUACCUAAAAGAAGACUCAUCAGU
This is a long non-coding RNA of Pseudoliparis swirei, 414 nucleotides long. RefSeq lists it as uncharacterized. The transcript is spliced from 3 exons. Lineage: Eukaryota; Metazoa; Chordata; Actinopteri; Perciformes; Liparidae. The record is from RefSeq and is a predicted model, not a curated record.